RNAcentral lists this ribosomal RNA (406 nucleotides) under uncultured bacterium. RNAcentral's name for it is "bacterial SSU rRNA". It matches the Rfam family "Bacterial small subunit ribosomal RNA", at positions 355 to 776 of the family's 1533-position model. The record is from RNAcentral.
UGGGGAAUAUUGCACAAUGGAGGAAACUCUGAUGCAGCGACGCCGCGUGAGGGAAGAAGGUUUUCGGAUUGUAAACCUCUGUCUUCGAGGACGAAAAAAAUGACGGUACUCGAGGAGGAAGCCACGGCUAACUACGUGCCAGCAGCCGCGGUAAUACGUAGGUGGCAAGCGUUGUCCGGAAUUACUGGGUGUAAAGGGAGCGCAGGCGGAACUGCAAGUUGGGUGUUUAAUCUACGGGCUCAACCCGUAUCAGCAUUCAAAACUGUGGUUCUUGAGUAAUGCAGAGGUAGGCGGAAUUCCCGGUGUAGCGGUGGAAUGCGUAGAUAUCGGGAGGAACACCAGUGGCGAAGGCGGCCUACUGGGCAUCAACUGACGCUGAGGCUCGAAAGCAUGGGUAGCAAACAGG